GGGGGAAUCUUGCACAAUGGGCGGAAGCCUGAUGCAGCGACGCCGCGUGCGGGACGAAGGCCUUCGGGCUGUAAACCGCUUUCAGCAGGGACGAGGCGAAAGUGACAGUACCUGCAGAAGAAGCCCCGGCUAACUACGUGCCAGCAGCCGCGGUAAUACGUAGGGGGCAAGCGUUAUCCGGAUUCAUUGGGCGUAAAGCGCGCGUAGGCGGCCAGCCUGGUCGGGAGUCAAAUCCGGGGGCUCAACCCCCGUCCGCUCCCGAUACCGGCCGGCUUGAGUCUGGCAGGGGAAGGCGGAAUUCCCGGUGUAGCGGUGGAAUGCGCAGAUAUCGGGAAGAACACCGGUGGCGAAGGCGGCCUUCUGGGCCACGACUGACGCUGAGGCGCGAAAGCUAGGGGAGCGAACAGGAUUAGAUACCCUGGUAGU
RNAcentral lists this ribosomal RNA (426 nucleotides) under uncultured Coriobacteriaceae bacterium. RNAcentral's name for it is "bacterial SSU rRNA". It matches the Rfam family "Bacterial small subunit ribosomal RNA", at positions 355 to 794 of the family's 1533-position model. The record is from RNAcentral. Lineage: Bacteria; Bacillati; Actinomycetota; Coriobacteriia; Coriobacteriales; Coriobacteriaceae.